CCGUGGAUUUGCUUCAUGAAAAAAGGCUCACAGCCAGCCAGGCUGUUAAAUGCUAGGAGAAGAACUUUGGUUACUACACGAUGAAUCUUGGACCAAACAACUGAUUUCCAGAUGAAGGAGCGUAUUGCUGAAGAUUGCCAUACUAAUAUCCCCAGGGCAUCUGGAAUUUUAUUCAAGUCCACAGCUUGACUGAAACCACAAUAUCCAUUAAAUCAGGAGUGUUACUAC
Long non-coding RNA from Mauremys reevesii (Reeves's turtle), 228 nucleotides. RefSeq lists it as uncharacterized. Lineage: Eukaryota; Metazoa; Chordata; Testudines; Geoemydidae. The transcript is spliced from 2 exons. The record is from RefSeq and is a predicted model, not a curated record.